Molecule: non-coding RNA, 287 nt
Organism: Paramormyrops kingsleyae
Lineage: Eukaryota; Metazoa; Chordata; Actinopteri; Osteoglossiformes; Mormyridae
Source: RefSeq, a predicted model, not a curated record
CCAGCAUCAGCCAUCAAACUGCUUCGGCAUCAUCAGUGGUACCUUACAAGUCACCUGCCAAGGGCUGUUUCGGGAAGAACUCCUUCAUCAUGAAGUACGUUCUUGUUGUGAUGUUGCUGAUUGGCCUCGGCCUGGCAGUUCCCGUUCCUGAGGAGGAGCAUAUGGGGAGUGAGCGUUUUUCUGGUUGGGAGUUUCCUGAGGAGGAGCACAGAAGGAGCGAGCGUUUCUCCAGUUGGAAGGUUCCACAGGAGGAGCACAGGAGGAGUGAACGUUCCUCCAGUCGGGAG